AGCCCCAGCGGGACGGCGGCGAGUGGGUUUGGGAGCCGGGCCGGGACACGCGAGGCGACGGGGAGCUCACCGCAAGGCUGGAGGCCCGGAGGCUGCGUCCCCAAGCGCGCUGGGAGCCGAGAGACGGAGAGCGAGCGCUCUGCAGCGGGCGGUGGACGCGCUGAAGGCACCAACCCUGGAGAAGCUUCUGCUGGUGCUUGGACAUGCGCCUGGACCUUGGAGGGCUCUGCUGCCUGGGUGAGGACCCUGUUCCCACCCUGGCUGGAAACAAGGGACCCCGGCCCCCCGCCGGACACGGGGACUCCGACGGCACAAGACACCCACGCCAUGUGAUCGAUAAACCAGAAGUCAGUCGGAAGAGCUCCCCGCUGAGGACCCCGACUGUCCCUGCUCAGCCCCCCUCCGAGCCAGCCGCCUGGGAGAGAGGCACCUGGAGCCCUGCACCCCAGCUCUGCGGAUGCACCCCAGCCCCUCUGAGCCCCACCCCUCCCCCAAGGGGAGAUGGGAACUAAAACGGCCUGGGAGGUCUGGGCCUGCAGCACAGCUCUCUGUGCCGGGGGACACCGGGCCCUGCCCUGGGGUCUGGAGACACUCACCGCUGUGGGCUGGGUGGGCUGCCCGCCUCAGUUCUGAGCCGGCGGAGAUCUCCUGGGCCACAGGCUGCAGCAGCUCACCUGGGGGCUGGGGUCUCGGGCAGCCCUGGCCUGCUGCAGCUCAGGCUGGGGGGCAGCUGGGGCGCGCGGCUGAGCCCGAGGAGAUGUGGGGCCCUGGGGCUGGGGGCUGGAAUCCGGCUGCUCGUCCUCAAGUUCAGGGGUGACUCUUCGGCCCCUGGGGAAAAUAAAGAGUGUGUUC
This 852-nucleotide unclassified non-coding RNA is filed under the name Sus scrofa (pig). RNAcentral describes it as "insulin-like growth factor 2 antisense RNA splice variant". Lineage: Eukaryota; Metazoa; Chordata; Mammalia; Artiodactyla; Suidae. The record is from RNAcentral.